AUUGAACGCUGGCGGCAUGCUUUACACAUGCAAGUCGAACGGCAGCGCGGGCUUCUGCCUGGCGGCGAGUGGCGAACGGGUGAGUAAUGCAUCGGAACGUGCCCAGUAGUGGGGGAUAGCCCGUCGAAAGCCGGAUUAAUACCGCAUACUACCUGCUGGUGAAAGCGGGGGAGCGAAAGGCCUCGCGCUAUUGGAGCGGCCGAUGCCGGAUUAGCUAGUUGGUCGGGUAAAGGCUUACCAAGUCGACGAUCCGUAGCUGGUCUGAGAGGACGACCAGCCACACUGGGACGGAGACACGGCCCAGAGUCCUACGGGAGGCAGCAGUGGGGAAUGGUGGACAAAGGGGGCAAACCUGAUCCAGCCAUGCCGCGUGCGAGAAGAAGGCCUUGGGGUUGUAAACCGCUUUUGUUCGGGAAGAAAUCCUCUGGGCUAAUACCCCGGGGGGAUGACGGUAACGGAAGAAUAAGCACCGGCUAACUACGUG
Molecule: ribosomal RNA, 484 nt
Filed under: uncultured bacterium
Lineage: Bacteria
Description: partial 16S ribosomal RNA
Rfam family: Bacterial small subunit ribosomal RNA
Source: RNAcentral